GGACUUUUGGGCAAUGGGGGAAACCCUGACCCAGCAACGCCGCGUGAGGGAUGAAGGCCUUCGGGUCGUAAACCUCUGUCGCGAGGGACGAACGACCGCCGGUCGAACAGGCCGGUGGUUUGACGGUACCUCCAAAGGAAGCACCGGCUAACUCCGUGCCAGCAGCCGCGGUAAUACGGAGGGUGCGAGCGUUGUUCGGAAUCAUUGGGCGUAAAGCGCGUGUAGGCGGCUUGGUAAGUCGGAUGUGAAAGCCCGGGGCCCAACCCCGGAAUUGCAUUCGAAACUGCCUCGCUGGAGUCCCGGAGAGGGUGGCGGAAUUCCCAGUGUAGAGGUGAAAUUCGUAGAUAUUGGGAAGAACACCGGCGGCGAAGGCGGCCACCUGGACGGCGACUGACGCUGAGACGCGAAAGCGUGGGGAGCAAAC
Molecule: ribosomal RNA, 424 nt
Filed under: uncultured bacterium
Lineage: Bacteria
Description: bacterial SSU rRNA
Rfam family: Bacterial small subunit ribosomal RNA
Source: RNAcentral